CAGCGAGACGGUAACGUUAAGCGAAUCUCAAAAAAGACAUUCUCAGUUCGGAUUGUGGGCUGAAACCCGCCCACAUGAAGUCGGAGUUGCUAGUAAUCCCGAAUCAGAAUGUCGGGGUGAAUGCGUUCCCGGGUCUUGUACACACCGCCCGUCACGCCAUAGGAGUUGGGGGUAUCCGAAGUCGGUGAGCUAACCGCAAGGGGGCAGCCGCCUAAGGUAAAACCAAUGACUGGGGUGAAGUCGUAACAAGGUAUC
Molecule: ribosomal RNA, 255 nt
Filed under: uncultured bacterium
Lineage: Bacteria
Description: partial 16S ribosomal RNA
Rfam family: Bacterial small subunit ribosomal RNA
Source: RNAcentral